RNAcentral lists this ribosomal RNA (497 nucleotides) under uncultured bacterium. RNAcentral describes it as "partial 16S ribosomal RNA". It matches the Rfam family "Bacterial small subunit ribosomal RNA", at positions 28 to 507 of the family's 1533-position model. The record is from RNAcentral.
GACGAACGCUGGCGGCGUGCCUAAUACAUGCAAGUAGAACGCUGAAGAGAGGAGCUUGCUCUUCUUGGAUGAGUUGCGAACGGGUGAGUAACGCGUAGGUAACCUGCCUUGUAGCGGGGGAUAACUAUUGGAAACGAUAGCUAAUACCGCAUAACAAUGGAUGACACAUGUCAUUUAUUUGAAAGGGGCAAUUGCUCCACUACAAGAUGGACCUGCGUUGUAUUAGCUAGUAGGUGAGGUAAUGGCUCACCUAGGCGACGAUACAUAGCCGACCUGAGAGGGUGAUCGGCCACACUGGGACUGAGACACGGCCCAGACUCCUACGGGAGGCAGCAGUAGGGAAUCAUCGGCAAUGGGGGCAACCCUGACCGAGCAACGCCGCGGGAGUGAAGAAGGUUUUCGGAUCGUAAAGCUCUGUUGUAAGUCAAGAACGGGUGUGAGAGUGGAAAGUUCACACUGUGACGGUAGCUUACCAGAAAGGGACGGCUAACUACGUG